RNAcentral lists this non-coding RNA (31 nucleotides) under Homo sapiens (human). Lineage: Eukaryota; Metazoa; Chordata; Mammalia; Primates; Hominidae. The record is from RNAcentral.
UAACAGAUGGGCUCCACAUGUAACUGAGAGC